Pseudanabaena biceps PCC 7429 is the source of this 87-nucleotide non-coding RNA. The record is from Rfam. NCBI's taxonomy places the organism in Bacteria, Bacillati, Cyanobacteriota, Cyanophyceae, Pseudanabaenales, Pseudanabaenaceae.
GGAGAGGUGGCAGAGUGGUUGAAUGCGUCUGACUCGAAAUCAGAUUUAGGGUCACACCUAACGGGAGUUCGAAUCUCCCCCUCUCCG